GGCCGGUGAUGUGAUCAAAAUAUUUGCUACUCUUGAUGGAGCAAAGGCUCCGCCUGACGACCAAGAACCACCAAGAUCUCUGAGGCC
Zea mays is the source of this 87-nucleotide non-coding RNA. The record is from Rfam. Lineage: Eukaryota; Viridiplantae; Streptophyta; Magnoliopsida; Poales; Poaceae.